GGCGCGGUAGCCAAGUGGUAAGGCAGCGGUCUGCAAAACCGCCAAUCGCGGGUUCGAUUCCCGCUCGCGCCU
RNAcentral lists this transfer RNA (72 nucleotides) under Gemmatimonadaceae bacterium. RNAcentral's name for it is "tRNA-Cys". It matches the Rfam family "tRNA". From Rfam's summary of the family: Transfer RNA (tRNA) molecules are approximately 80 nucleotides in length. Their secondary structure includes four short double-helical elements and three loops (D, anti-codon, and T loops). Further hydrogen bonds mediate the characteristic L-shaped molecular structure. tRNAs have two regions of fundamental functional importance: the anti-codon, which is responsible for specific mRNA codon recognition, and the 3' end, to which the tRNAs corresponding amino acid is attached (by aminoacyl-tRNA synthetases). tRNAs cope with the degeneracy of the genetic code in two manners: having more than one tRNA (with a specific anti-codon) for a particular amino acid; and 'wobble' base-pairing, i.e. permitting non-standard base-pairing at the 3rd anti-codon position. Lineage: Bacteria; Pseudomonadati; Gemmatimonadota; Gemmatimonadia; Gemmatimonadales; Gemmatimonadaceae. The record is from RNAcentral.